UUUUUUUUAUAAGCGCCAGAACUAGUGAAAGUUGGUUGAUAAGCUCACUAGUUGACGAGGAGGAGGUUUAUCGAACGUUCGGCGGAUGCCUCCCGGCUGCGGCACACAGUCGAAUUUUCUUUUCGAAAGCAUCGAGGCGACUCGAUGGACAAAGGAGAGAAAAUGUGGUCGA
Molecule: non-coding RNA, 172 nt
Filed under: Bacillus sp. (in: firmicutes)
Lineage: Bacteria; Bacillati; Bacillota; Bacilli; Caryophanales; Bacillaceae
Description: Bacillus sp. GlcN6P sequence
Rfam family: glmS glucosamine-6-phosphate activated ribozyme aptamer
About the family: This entry contains a glucosamine-6-phosphate activated ribozyme that is found in the mRNA for GlmS.
Source: RNAcentral